RNAcentral lists this ribosomal RNA (497 nucleotides) under uncultured bacterium. RNAcentral describes it as "partial 16S ribosomal RNA". It matches the Rfam family "Bacterial small subunit ribosomal RNA", at positions 28 to 507 of the family's 1533-position model. The record is from RNAcentral.
GACGAACGCUGGCGGCGUGCCUAAUACAUGCAAGUUGAGCGAUGAAGAUUGGUGCUUGCACCAAUUUGAAGAGCAGCGAACGGGUGAGUAACGCGUGGGGAAUCUGCCUUUGAGCGGGGGACAACAUUUGGAAACGAAUGCUAAUACCGCAUAACAACUUUAAACAUAAGUUUUAAGUUUGAAAGAUGCAAUUGCAUCACUCAAAGAUGAUCCCGCGUUGUAUUAGCUAGUUGGUGAGGUAAAGGCUCACCGAGGCGAUGAUACAUAGCCGACCUGAGAGGGUGAUCGGCCACAUUGGGACUGAGACACGGCCCAAACUCCUACGGGAGGCAGCAGUAGGGAAUCUUCGGCAAUAGACGAAAGUCUGGCCGAGCAACGCCGCGUGAGUGAAGAAGGUUUUCGGAUCGUAAAACUCUGUUGGUAGAGAAGAACGUUGGUGAGAGUGGAAAGCUCAUCAAGUGACGGUAACUACCCAGAAAGGGACGGCUAACUACGUG